AGGGUUUGAUUAUGGCUCAGGACGAACGCUGGCGGCGUGCUUAACACAUGCAAGUCGAACGGGAGGACAUGGGAAGCUUGCUUCCUAUGGACUCUAGUGGCAAACGGGUGAGUAACGCGUAAGCAACCUGCCCUCCGGAUGGGGACAACAGCUGGAAACGGCUGCUAAUACCGAAUACGUUUCCAUUGCCGCAUGGCAGUGGGAAGAAAGGUGGCCUCUGAAUAUGCUACCGCCGGGGGAGGGGCUUGCGUCUGAUUAGCUGGUUGGAGGGGUAACGGCCCACCAAGGCGACGAUCAGUAGCCGGUCUGAGAGGAUGAACGGCCACAUUGGAACUGAGACACGGUCCAG
Molecule: ribosomal RNA, 349 nt
Filed under: uncultured bacterium
Lineage: Bacteria
Description: bacterial SSU rRNA
Rfam family: Bacterial small subunit ribosomal RNA
Source: RNAcentral